GCAUUAAUGGGGUAGUGGUAACCUGGGUCGUUGCCAUUGGAGAGUGAUUUCGACCCGCCGGGGGUUCGAUUCCCCCUUAAUGCA
Termitomyces sp. Mi166#008 is the source of this 84-nucleotide non-coding RNA. The record is from the annotation of a GenBank genome assembly. Lineage: Eukaryota; Fungi; Basidiomycota; Agaricomycetes; Agaricales; Lyophyllaceae.